RNAcentral lists this ribosomal RNA (684 nucleotides) under uncultured bacterium. Its description in RNAcentral is "bacterial SSU rRNA". It matches the Rfam family "Bacterial small subunit ribosomal RNA", at positions 1 to 655 of the family's 1533-position model. The record is from RNAcentral.
GGUCCUCGCGUAACCAUCUGCUUUAAAGUUUGAUCAUGGCUCACCUUGGACGUAGCGGCCAGAGCUUAACACAUGCAAGUCGAGCGGGGAAGUGUUGCUUCGGUAACUGACCUAGCGGCGGACGGGUGAGUAAUGCUUAGGAAUCUGCCAUUUAGUGGGGGACAACAUUCCGAAAGGAAUGCUAAUACCGCAUACGUCCUACGGGAGAAAGCAGGGGAUCUUCGGACCUUGCGCUAAAUGAUGAGCCUAAGUCGGAUUAGCUAGUUGGUGGGGUAAAGGCCUACCAAGGCGACGAUCUGUAGCGGGUCUGAGAGGAUGAUCCGCCACACUGGGACUGAGACACGGCCCAGACUCCUACGGGAGGCAGCAGUGGGGAAUAUUGGACAAUGGGCGGAAGCCUGAUCCAGCCAUGCCGCGUGUGUGAAGAAGGCCUUAUGGUUGUAAAGCACUUUAAGCGAGGAGGAGGCUACCAGUAUUAAUACUACUGGAUAGUGGACGUUACUCGCAGAAUAAGCACCGGCUAACUCUGUGCCAGCAGCCGCGGUAAUACAGAGGGUGCGAGCGUUAAUCGGAUUUACUGGGCGUAAAGCGUGCGUAAGCGGCUUUUUUAAGUCGGGAUGUGAAAUCCCCGAGCUUAACUUGGGGAAUUGCCAUUCGAUACCUGGGAAGCUAAAAGUAUGGGAG